Molecule: ribosomal RNA, 229 nt
Filed under: uncultured bacterium
Lineage: Bacteria
Description: partial 16S ribosomal RNA
Rfam family: Bacterial small subunit ribosomal RNA
Source: RNAcentral
GGUGUAGGCGGAGUGGCAGGUGCUUUGUGAAAGCCCUCGGCUCAACCGAGGAAAUGCAGGGCAAACCGCCAUUCUUGAGGCAGGUAGGGGCAAGCGGAACUAUGGGUGGAGCGGUGAAAUGCGUAGAUAUCCAUGGGAACGCCGGUGGCGAAAGCGGCUUGCUGGGCCUGUCCUGACGCUGAGACGCGAAAGCGUGGGUAGCAAACAGGAUUAGAUACCCUGGUAGUCC